This 387-nucleotide transfer-messenger RNA is filed under the name Planctomycetota bacterium. RNAcentral's name for it is "Planctomycetes bacterium (hot springs metagenome) transfer-messenger RNA". It matches the Rfam family "transfer-messenger RNA". From Rfam's summary of the family: Bacterial tmRNA, also known as 10Sa RNA or SsrA, is named for its dual tRNA and mRNA-like properties. The record is from RNAcentral. Lineage: Bacteria; Pseudomonadati; Planctomycetota.
GGGGGCGAAUUGGAUUCGACCGGACGGCUCUGGCGGUAGGCACCGUGCCGUGGUUGGUCGGCUGGCCACGUUAAAAGCCGACUGCAAAAUUACAUGCCGAGCAACCGCUCGCGCUAGCUGCUUAAUCUAUAGGCAGCCCGGUUGAGGGCCUUGGCCGGAGAGGCCCGAAAACCGGUCGGCAAUUCCGGCUCGUCUUGGGUCGGUGCCGGCUUGGCCCAAGAUUAAACUUCAAGGCCGGCUAGCCAUCCAGGGACUCCGGACUCCGUUCCGGGGCUUGCCCUGUCGGUUGGGGCCCUGGGGGGCGAAACGCAAAAAAACCGACUACGCACGUACCAGGCCUACCCGAAGGCCGCCGCGGGACGCGGGUUCGAUUCCCGCCGCCUCCAA